GUGGGGAAUUUUGGACAAUGGGCGCAAGCCUGAUCCAGCCAUUCCGCGUGCAGGAUGAAGGCCUUCGGGUUGUAAACUGCUUUUGUACGGAACGAAAAGCCUCUGGUUAAUACCCGGGGGUCAUGACGGUACCGUAAGAAUAAGCACCGGCUAACUACGUGCCAGCAGCCGCGGUAAUACGUAGGGUGCGAGCGUUAAUCGGAAUUACUGGGCGUAAAGCGUGCGCAGGUGGUGAUGUAAGACAGUUGUGAAAUCCCCGGGCUCAACCUGGGAACUGCAUCUGUGACUGCAUUGCUGGAGUGCGGCAGAGGGGGAUGGAAUUCCGCGUGUAGCAGUGAAAUGCGUAGAUAUGCGGAGGAACACCGAUGGCGAAGGCAAUCCCCUGGGCCUACACUGACGCUCAUGCACGAAAGCGUGGGGAGCAAACAGGAUUAGAAACCCGGGUAGUCC
RNAcentral lists this ribosomal RNA (450 nucleotides) under uncultured bacterium. Its description in RNAcentral is "partial 16S ribosomal RNA". It matches the Rfam family "Bacterial small subunit ribosomal RNA", at positions 354 to 796 of the family's 1533-position model. The record is from RNAcentral.